This 432-nucleotide ribosomal RNA is filed under the name uncultured bacterium. Its description in RNAcentral is "bacterial SSU rRNA". It matches the Rfam family "Bacterial small subunit ribosomal RNA", at positions 46 to 525 of the family's 1533-position model. The record is from RNAcentral.
GCUAACACAUGCAAGUCGAGCGCACUCUUCGGAGUGAGCGGCGGACGGGUUAGUAACGCGUGGGAACGUACCCAGAUCUACGGAAUAGCCUCGGGAAACUGAGAGUAAUACCGUAUACGCCCUUCGGGGGAAAGAUUUAUCGGAUUUGGAUCGGCCCGCGUUAGAUUAGAUAGUUGGUGAGGUAACGGCUCACCAAGUCUACGAUCUAUAGCUGGUUUUAGAGGAUGAUCAGCAACACUGGGACUGAGACACGGCCCAGACUCCUACGGGAGGCAGCAGUGGGGAAUCUUGGACAAUGGGCGCAAGCCUGAUCCAGCCAUGCCGCGUGAGUGAUGAAGGCCUUAGGGUCGUAAAGCUCUUCCGCCAGAGAUGAUAAUGACAGUAUCUGGUAAAGAAACCCCGGCUAACUCCGUGCCAGCCGCCGCGGUAAUA